Molecule: RNA transcript, 2843 nt
Organism: Limulus polyphemus (Atlantic horseshoe crab)
Lineage: Eukaryota; Metazoa; Arthropoda; Merostomata; Xiphosura; Limulidae
Gene name: glucose transporter type 1-like
Exons: 16
Source: RefSeq, a predicted model, not a curated record
GAGACCUAGAUUAGAGAGUUGGCUUACCCUAACCUAGCGUGACGGGUACGUUAAAAUAUAGAGGCUGUGAAGACAACAUGAGACGGUAGUUUGAGAAGGAACUUCAAAUUCUAUACUAAAGCAGUAAAUAUAUUUCUUUUCGAUAAUGAAACAGAUUUUGUGUGACAUUUCUUCACCAAAUGAAGCUUUGUGAAGGCAGUGAGCUGAGCUAGCAGAAACAACCAAAUCCCGUGCCCAAAAUUUUCACUCGUGACCAGAUUCCCAUAGCGUCACCAUGUGUUACAAAAGUUAUGAAACGGAGGGUCUCACCUGUAUGUUGGUGUUUGCCAUUAUUGCUGCCGUCCUUGGAAUGUUUCAGUUUGGUUACAACACUGGAGUUAUAAAUGCCCCCCAAAUAAUUUUACAAGAAUUUAUAUCAGAUAUAUAUGAAAAGAGGACAGGAAAUGUUAUUACAGAUGGAUUCAAUGAACUUAUUUGGUCUAUCACUGUAUCCAUAUUUGCCAUAGGUGGUAUGGUGGGAGGUAUAUCAGGAGGAGCAAUUGCAAAUAGGUUUGGAAGGAAAGGUGGUCUUCUUCUUAACAAUAUAUUUGCAAUAUUAGGAGGUGCUUUAAUGGGCCUCAGCAAAGUGUCCCGUAGUAUUGAGAUGCUCAUCAUUGGUCGCCUUAUUAUAGGUUUUAACUGUGGUUUAAAUACCGCUCUCGUGCCAAUGUACUUAUCAGAAAUAUCACCUGUCUCUAUACGUGGAGGAUUAGGCACAGUAAAUCAGCUUGCUGUGACAGUUGGGCUUUUGUUGUCCCAAGUUUUUGGAAUUAAUUUUCUUCUGGGCACAGCACAAGGGUGGCCUUAUCUCUUAGCUAUAGCAAUCAUACCAGCAGUUCUGCAGCUGUGUUUGUUACCUUUGUGUCCAGAGAGUCCUCGAUUCUUGCUCAUUUCAAAACAACAGGAAUUUCAUGCAAGAGAAGGCCUAAAACGUUUGAGAAAUUCAAGCAACAUUGAAAAAGAUAUAGAAGAAAUGAAAGCAGAAGAAAGAGCCAGUCAACAUGAAGUUAAGAUAACAAUGAUGGAAUUAAUAAAGAAUAAGAGGUUACAGCUUCCAUUAAUAAUAGGUAUAAUCAUGCAACUUUCACAACAGCUUUCAGGAAUAAAUGCUGUGUUUUAUUAUUCCACGGGCCUUUUUGUGGCAGCAGGUCUCUCAGAAGAAACAUCGAAGUAUGCAACCAUUGGUGUGGGGUGUGUGAUGGUAAUUAUGACUCUGGUUUCCAUUCCACUGAUGGACCGGGCAGGAAGGCGAACAUUGCAUUUGUAUGGGCUUGGUGGCAUGUUCAUCUUCAGUAUCUUUAUUACCAUUUCUUUACUUGUAAAGUUUAUGUACUCCUGGGUGACUUAUCUAAGUGUUGUCAGCACACUAGGUUACGUGGUAUUCUUUGCUAUUGGUCCAGGAUCCAUUCCAUGGAUGAUCACUGCAGAACUUUUUUCCCAAGGCCCAAGACCAGCAGCUAUGAGCAUAGCUGUGUUAGUCAACUGGUUAGCCAACUUUGUCGUUGGGUUGGUAUUUCCUCAUAUGCAGAAAGGUCUCAGUGAUUACACUUUCCUUCCAUUUACUGCUCUUCUUGCUAUUUUUUGGACCUUCACUUAUAAGAAAGUUCCUGAAACAAGAAAUAAGACAUUUGAAGAAAUCUCAGCUCUGUUUAGGAGGGAUGAAGUCCUUAAUGCUAAUGGCAUGAACAUAGACACAACUAGCAGAUACAGAUCCACUGAAGGACCAGUUGCAGAGGAGAAGUCUGUUGAGUCAUGCCAGUUACACGACUUUCAUCAUUGCUGGGAAAUGGAUGAACUCCAGCAUACAGAGAAAACAAGGGAGCAAAUUCUAAAUCAUUUGGGAGUUCAGGCCUAAGAAAGGAUGUUAAAUCUCUUUCUCACGUCCUUCUUGUCAUUGGUGUCUCUACUAACAGGAGCUGAAUGGAGUAGAGAUCUCACCAGAACUGUGGACCAUUUUGAGGCCUUUUCAACCAAGACUAGGGUGAAAACCCAUUGCUAUACUAAGCAACUGUGAUAUAUGGAAGAUAGCAGCCAGGGAAGAAACACAUAAAAAAUGUAUUGUGCAUCUUAAAACAUAAAUGGUGUUGUUUUAUUUUGUGUGUUUCCCAUCGCCAUCUGCCGGAGAUCCAAGAACAUUUGCUUAUCCUAGGAUUUCCAAACACGAUAAUGCAAAGUUUAUCGGAAGAUAAUACAAUGAUAAUAGCUUCAACCAUGAUCCCCGGAAAUGAGUUGAAUCAUAAAAAGAGAUGGGGCACAUAUAAAGUAAAUAACACAAGCACUUUUAUUGAUAUUCCUUCUUCUGAAGUGAACUGAAAAGGAGGAGUUUCACUUUCAACAAACAUUCAGGUUUAUUUUAUUGUAACAACUUCAAUGUUCUUUACGUCUCAUCAUUAUUCUAUCAACUAUAACACUUACGAGAUAAGGUAAAGUGUAAAAACAAAAAUCAUUGUAUACCCUUAAAAUUAGGAACAUUCGUAAUACAUAAUGCACCUUUUGAAGAAACUUGUCAUUUAAUUUUUGAAACUAUGUACUUUGUGUGCGGUACAAAAGGAUAUAACACGAAAAGGGUAAGUCAUGUUAAUAAGAAAUUUAAAGCCUAAUAUUAAACAUUUAUAUCAAUUUGAAAAUUUUUUGUUCUCCCAUGAAAAAUCAUAAUAGGCGUAUAUUUCCAAUUCGACCUACAAACAUUAUUUUAAAUGUAAAGUAAUUUUGGUGAAAACGACUACAAACUGCAAAGCAUACGAGCAUUUAAAAGCCAUUGGAUAUAAUGAAAUAAAUAACAGUGGUUCUUUGAGUUGUCUUAU